RNAcentral lists this ribosomal RNA (468 nucleotides) under uncultured bacterium. RNAcentral's name for it is "partial 16S ribosomal RNA". It matches the Rfam family "Bacterial small subunit ribosomal RNA", at positions 28 to 507 of the family's 1533-position model. The record is from RNAcentral.
GACGAACGCUGGCGGCGUGCUUAACACAUGCAAGUCGAACGGAAAGGCCCUGCUUUUGUGGGGUGCUCGAGUGGCGAACGGGUGAGUAACACGUGAUUAACCUGCCCUUGACUUUGGGAUAACUUCAGGAAACUGGGGCUAAUACCGGAUAGGAGCUCCUGCUGCAUGGUGGGGGUUGGAAAGUUUCGGCGGUUGGGGAUGGACUCGCGGCUUAUCAGCUUGUUGGUGGGGUAGUGGCUUACCAAGGCUUUGACGGGUAGCCGGCCUGAGAGGGUGACCGGCCACAUUGGGACUGAGAUACGGCCCAGACUCCUACGGGAGGCAGCAGUGGGGAAUAUUGAACAAUGGGCGGAAGCCUGAUGCAGCAACGCCGCGUGCGGGAUGACGGCCUUCGGGUUGUAAACCGCUUUCGCCUGUGACGAAGCGUGAGUGACGGUAAUGGGUAAAGAAGCACCGGCUAACUACGUG